This 5226-nucleotide ribosomal RNA is filed under the name Triticum aestivum (bread wheat). Its description in RNAcentral is "partial small subunit ribosomal RNA". The record is from RNAcentral. Lineage: Eukaryota; Viridiplantae; Streptophyta; Magnoliopsida; Poales; Poaceae.
AUGACUUGUGUCUUAAUGGCACUGGACCAAUUCAUUGAUUCCAGCUUUGUUGCUUAUAGUUGUACGAAAAGGUCUGAAGAAGAGGAGGAGAGAUUGCAUAAACAACGUGUAACCUUAAUGAAUACCCUAGUUUCAGCGAUCAAAAUUUCCUUUGUGACCAACGAGGCUACCCAGAAGAGCUUGUCUUCUAUCAGUUGUGCCAUUUCAAGUACAUGGAUAAAGCUUGAUGAGCUCAAAUUUUUAAUCCAUUCCAUCAGUAACAUUGGUGCGACACUUUAUAAUAUUGGACAUCUUGAAGAGGCACCAAAGGCAUUAGAACUAUGCUGUCAAACAACAUGGGCAUACGCCAGACUUUCUUACUGUAGACUAUCAGCAAGAACGGAAGGUCACAUCAUUACUGAGGAUCUACCAAAAGAUACACUGAAGGAUAUCAUUACAGCUGCAUUUGCAAGGAUAACAAAGAUGGUUGGCAUUCUCGAUAGAUGUGGCUCAAAAGCGAUACGUGGUAUUAUUGUGAAGAGCCUGUCUGAAUUUUUUGUUUAUGGUGACACAUCUGAUUAUCACGAAAGCUAUUUGGCUCUGAUAAAGUUAUGGGUGAAGAUAACACUUAAGGAUUUUGAAGAUUACCAACGAGUGGAUAGUGCUCCUCUUCUCUAUCACUCUCUUAUGGGCUGCUCGCCUCCCUUGCCAAUGAAGUUCAUAGGCUUAAUCGUAGAGCAGGAAUUAUUAGCAUAUGGAGAAUCUCGUGUGACCAUGCUCUGUGCAAAUAUGCAACAUAGAAUAGUAGAUAUUCUAUUGAAUGAAAUAUAUUGUUCAAAAGAAUAUUAUCUGGACAGAUCAAAGGUUUUAGUUAGGAAGGCAUGUAUACUCCGUGGAUCUGGGGUGCAAAACAUAAGCAACUGUCUUGAGUCCUUAUCUGAAGCCAUAUCUUUACUGCAAGGCAUCUUACUGGAUUCAUCUCAAGGCAAUGCAAUUGUGAUCCAUGAAUUGGCUAUUGCAUAUUGCCUGCAUGCACAUUGUGCCCAGGAAGCCAAUCAUGGCGGCAAGGUAAUCUUUGAUAAUGCUAGGAGUGUUGUUGGCCUGUGGUCAAAGAUGGGUACUUUGGAUCAUUGUUCUCCUGGUGGGAUCUUUCAGCAGCAAUCCAAAACUCUUGUACCACUUCUUUGUUCCCUGGUUGAUUUGCUGGCAAUGAAGGGCUGCUUUGAGCUUCAGUUUGAACUGUGCAAGCUUAUCAUAAUGAUAUGGAAGCAAGAAAACUUACCCCUAGAAAAGUUAUUCUCCAUGUUAUUUAUCAACGGGCGCCUUAAUCAUGCGUGCUGUCAUCUCCCGAUGGACCAGAAUUUUGUUUCUUAUGUGGCACGGCAUCUUGGUUUUGAUUGCCACAAUACAAUAUUUUGGAGAAACUGUUUCAAAGAAGAUUAUCCUUCUCUUACUAUGUUUCUUCAGCGGUUGUGGCCUGUUGAUUUCUUUUCUCAAUCAUGUGAACACUCCUUUGGAAAUCAGUUUGGUUUCAAUGCUAGUGUUGAUGAGAUUGAUAAAGUUGCAUCAUCUCUGGUUUCUGAAGGUCCUUCGGGUAAUCAAUCAACCUAUCUGGCUGGCUGUAUAUACUAUGAUUUGUCAGAAAGACUUCUGUCAAGAGGACAAGUUCUCCAGGCCAUUUCAUAUGGAAGAGAAGCUCUCCAAUUGCGCAAGAAGCUCCUAAAAAAGAAGUUCAAAUUUAAUUUGGGCAAAUUUGUAAGUGGGGAAAGCCAAUAUUCUGGUGGGCAAGGCUUUGUUUCACUUGAAGCAUGGGGACCAACGAUGGCUGGAAUCUGGCCAGAUUGCACCAGGCCAAGCAGCAUGAGAGAUUCUUUCCUUACCCCAUGGAAUGUACUUAGAUGUUAUCUUGAGAGCAUAUUACAGGUUGCUGUGAUGCAUGAAUUGGUUGGCAAUGGUGCCGAAGCAGAAGUUUUAUUACGGAUAGGAAAGGAGAUAUCAUGUUUCCAAGGACUACAAAUUUUUGCUGUUGUCUUUACAUCAGUGUUAGGUCAAAUAUACCACAAGAGACAGCUAUGGGAUGCCGCUGAGGGUGAGCUUAAACAUGCUAAGGACCUCCUUGCAGAAAAUGAUGAAUUCAUUUCAUGCAAGACAUGCAAGUUGACUCUGCACAUAUCAGUUGAUGUGCAAGCUGGAGAUCUGUCUUGGAAUCUCUUUGAGAAAGACUUGCAGAAACAAUCAACAGGCAAUUUGUCUAGUGCUUUAGGCAUGUAUCAAUCUGCCGUGGAGAAAUUGAAUAACUCUGGUUUGGAUUUUUCUGCUGGAUCCUGUGAUAAAGUUAAUACUAGUUGUAUGUUGUGCAGCAAAGAUUCUAUUGCAGAAACCAAGCGUGGAGCUUGUAAUAAUGGGAAAGAACCCUUAGCAGCCAAGGAUGGAGUUUUACCUCCAUGUACUCCUUGUUUGUUGUUCAGUCAGGUACCUAUUGACCAGUACGAUGAACUUGUGGGAUUAAAAUCUGAAAGGGAGAAUUUGAAGAGUGCCGAAAGUGCUCCACCAUUGGAUGUUAAAGUUAAGAGGGCAUCCGGAACUUCAUUACGUUUAGCUAAAGAACAGAAUGUGUCAGCUCAUGCAAAGACUAGAACCACCCGAUCUAGUAAGCGAACUGCACAUGUGAAAAGUGAAAAAGACUUGGCUGAACUGAAUAACAAAAAUGACAUAUCUUAUAGCAAGGAAUUGUCCACAGAUGGUUUGGUCUGUGGGAAGCUAAACUGUUCUCUUGAUGGUGUUGGCCGCAACAGAGAUGACAUAUGCAAUAUGUUUGGAUGUUGGAGCUGCCUUUUUGUUAAUUCACUCAAUUUUGAGUGCAUUGAGAAUAUACUGCAGUUCAGAGAAGAUUGCAUUCGCCGACGCCAUCUUGUGUCGCUUCUGUUAAAAACAGCAAGAACCUUGGGAGCUCAGGGUGGAAAACAUGGAGCUCAUGAAGUUCAUAGUAUCUACUGGCAGUGCAUAUCAUUGUUGUAUUUCAGAUCUCUUCCUCAAGGGUGUUAUAGAACAUAUGGGCCUCGUUUAGUUGAACUGAUCAUGAAUGAAAAUACUGGUGAUUUUCUUUCUUUAGAGCGUGCAGAAAUACUAUGUAGUAUGAGUUCCUUUUUGCUGAAGGGUUUCCUUUCAGAACAGUCAAGGGAUGGUUGCUGCAGCUUCUGUAGUGUACAAAUGUCUGAUGUUGUUUCAUGGUUGCUGAAAGCUNNNNNNNNNNNNNNNNNNNNNNNNNNNNNNNNNNNNNNNGUUUGCAGGCUACUUACAUGCAUAUUCUUACUAUCAACGAUAGAUUCCUCGGUCCAAUUACCUUUGUAUUCCAAGGGAUCUCUCUCUUUGAAUCAUUGGGCCGCAUACUUCCACCAAACUUCUGUUGGAACUUAUCUCAAUUGCCAUUACCUUGCGAGCUUACAAGCAUUGCACAGAAAAACAGAAUCGAAGGGUGUCACUGGAGAUCUCACAGACAAGACAGAUGAAGUUCCAAAGUUUCUAAGGUUUUCAUCGGCAGGCAUGGAACAUCUUGAAAAACAUGUAAUUGAAUUCUUCCAUGAACUUCCUGAUUUACCAAUUGUGUGCAUUAGUAUGCUUGGAGGUGAUAUUGUGAAUGUUCUUGGGGAAACACUUCUUCUCCCUUCCCCUUUUCCUGCUUGGAUGUUGAUCUCAAGGUUUGAUUCAACAAACAAGCCUACCACGAUGCUUCUACCAGUGGAUCCUAUUUCGAAAGAAGCAGAGAAUGGAGACUCUUCUAUCAAACAACUGGAUAAUCCAACUAGAACAUCAGAUAAGGAAUGGAAGUGCCCUUGGAGCUACACUAUAAUAGACUAUGUGGCUCCAACUUUCAAAAAGCUACUUGAGGAUAACUUUAGAUCCCUCUCUGGUGCGACCCACAUUCCAGAGGAUGGAAAAGCAAACGCCAUAAGGUGGUGGUCAGAUAGAAUGAAGCUCAAUGAUGACCUUAGUGAGAUGUUGGAAAACAUUGAAGAAUUGUGGCUAGGACCCUGGAAAUGCCUUCUCCUGGGCCACCAAUUAGCUGACCAACAUAGCAAGUCAGUGCUGGAAAAUCUAAUCACUGCUCUGGAUUCAGAAUUUAAACUUGAAGUAGAUCCAGCACUCAUCAAGGUCAUCCUUGGUGGGGUUGCAUCAGUGGAUGAAUUGAAAGAAUGUGUUUCUCAACUUAUAUCAUACAAAAGUUACUUUGGCAGGGGAGGGUGUUGCGGAAGAGAUAGACUUAGAGCCUUCUGUUGCCAGACUGAUGGUGAAGCUCUGGUGACCCUCGAGCAUUUGUGCAAUGGUAUAGUGGAUGAGCUAUCUGAGCCAAUUGACAGAAAUCCGGUCAUUUUAGUCCUGGAUACUGAUGUGCAGAUGCUUCCUUGGGAGAACUUGCCUGCUUUAAGGAAUCAAGAAAUAUACCGCAUGCCAUCAAUGAGAAGCAUCUUUCUAGCAUUGACUAGAAGCACUAAUCAUCACAAAGAUGCCAGUGCCAUGGCCCCUCCUUUUCCUGUUAUUGACCCUUUCGAUGCAUUCUAUCUGUUGAAUCCUAGUGGUGAUUUGAUCAGCACACAAGAAGAAUUUUAUCAGUUGUUUAGAAACUAUGAGUGGAAGGGAAAUGCUGGGGAUGCUCCAACAGCUGAAGAGCUCGUCUUGGCCCUGAGGAAUCAUGAUCUUUUUCUCUACUUUGGACAUGGAAGUGGAAGUCAGUAUGUCUCUGGAAAGGAAAUUGAGAAGUUAGAUAACUGCGCAGCUGCUCUUCUUAUGGGUUGCAGUAGUGGGACACUUCAUUGCAAAGGCGGUUAUGCUCCUCAAGGGGCACCUUUGUCUUAUUUAUUUGCUGGUUCUCCUUCUGUCAUUGCAAACCUCUGGGACGUCUCGGAUAAAGAUAUCGAUCGAUUUAGUAAAGCAUUGCUGAAUUCAUGGUUGCAAGAAAAAUUUAAGGCCGCCAAGAAUUGCCCUAAAUGUUGCCACCCACUAACACAAGAAUUUGAGUCCACAACGAUUGCUGCAAAGGAUAAUGGUAGGCCAAGACGAAAAGGUACACGACAAGGUCAGAAGCAGCAGCAGACAGGAGAGAUAGAUGGCAGUAGUAACCGCUGUAAUUGCAGGCAUAGGAGAAUAGCUACGCAUAUAAGUGAAGCUAGGCGUGCUUGCAGGCUUCCGCUUAUUAUCGGCGCAUCUCCUGUUUGUUACGGUGUGCCUACUAUCAUCAGGAAGAAGUAA